AUACGGGGGGUGCAAGCGUUAAUCGGAAUUACUGGGCGUAAAGCGCGCGUAGGCGGUUUGCUCAGUCGGAUGUGAAAGCCCAGGGCUCAACCUUGGAACUGCAUACGAUACUGGCAAACUAGAGUGUGAGAGAGGAUAGUGGAAUUUCCGGUGUAGCGGUGAAAUGCGUAGAUAUCGGGAGGAACAUCAGUGGCGAAGGCGACUGUCUGGCUCAACACUGACGCUGAGGUGCGAAAGCGUGGGUAGCAAACAGGAUUAGAUACCCUAGUAGUCC
Molecule: ribosomal RNA, 274 nt
Filed under: uncultured bacterium
Lineage: Bacteria
Description: partial 16S ribosomal RNA
Rfam family: Bacterial small subunit ribosomal RNA
Source: RNAcentral